Long non-coding RNA from Manis pentadactyla (Chinese pangolin), 1437 nucleotides. RefSeq lists it as uncharacterized. The record is from RefSeq and is a predicted model, not a curated record. The transcript has 2 exons. Lineage: Eukaryota; Metazoa; Chordata; Mammalia; Pholidota; Manidae.
GGGUGGGGGUGGGGAAGAAGGGCUAGGGAUGCCGGGGGCCACUCCUGCGUGGUGCGAGUGGGAGCGCGCGCCUGGCUGUGUGUUGUUAGCUGAUAUCUAUGGUAGCCGCAGCGGCAGGGUCCGUGCUCGUGCGAGUGUAUGUGUGAGUGUGUGUGUGUGUGCGUACUAGUUGUACAGUACUGGCAGCAGGGGAGGUGGCUGAGGAGGAGGGCGCCGGCUGGAGGGGAGGAGGGGCGCGCGCGCGCCGGUGGGGAGCCGCUCGCCGCCGUCUCGGCUCCCUCCCUCCGCAGCUUGACCCGGUAGUGAAGGCGGAGAGAGAGGCAGGCUGGGUCCGCCUGGCAGCCUGCGAGAGGAGGCGGGAGUGGGAAAGGAGGGGAACCGAGGCCCGGCGUGGGGAGGCCGGCAGGAAGGCUGUGAGCCCAGUGCGGACCUUUCUUCAGCCUGUGCGCGGCCGAGCGGUGUGCCGGGAUAUCCCGAGCGUUUGAGGGCGCCCGGAGUUUCUCAGACCGAGGCUCGGCUCGAGCAGAAAUAGCGAGACCCGGGCGCGUGGCGCACCCCAGUGCCCGGGGCUGCGGCCCGAGCGCGGCGAGGCUCCAGGCACGGGAUCCUGCCGUGAGGACGCCGGGCGGGCGGCCGGGACCCGGCAUGGACUGCGGGAACAGGCCGGGAGCCGGGGGAGGCGUAGGAGUUCACUGUGUAGAGCGGCUUUGUCUCCACGUUUCAGUCAAACUCCCUGCGGAGUUCUCAGAAUUCCCCCUGCGAGGAGCGGAAAGUUAGAAAACUGCAGGCUGGGCGCGCUGCCAGAGAGCGAGGCGGGCGAAGCCGCAGCACAGGCCCGGGGCAGGCCCAGCGGGGGUCAGACCGGGCGCACUUGGCGGAGGGGCGGAGUUGUGGUGAAAGGCAAUCUCGCGGCGGCGGGGAAGGGGCUUCGCUUCUUGUUGGGAAAAGCGGAAAUACUGGGGCUUUAGGGUAAGGGGCGGGGGCAGUUGCAGUGAGCAUCCUCCUCAGAGAAAUGGUCAGGGCCAAAACCAGAGAACUGCGGCCGAGGUGGCCGGGCCACGCCCUCGCCCCGGAGAGCCCUCAGACCCGGCUGCUACCCCGGGAAGGAACCUUAAGAUGACCCGACCCGACCCGACAGCCACCUGCUGUAAAGAAAGAAAAGAAAGCUCCGACGGUGAACGUGGCGGCAGAAUCGAGGCUGAACCCAGCUCGCUGGCUCACAACCAGGCCCCCUUCCCUUCACCAAGAUUGCAGCCCGGAAGAGCCUACAGCACAAAUGAAGAGGGAGAAGUCAUCUUGCCUCUGUGAUUAGAUAAGCAUGAAGAUAAAGCUCCCCUGUGAGGAUGAUGAAGCAAAAUGGUAGAAGGGGCCUAGACUCCCUUCCUUCAGACAUCUUGUUGUGGGGAAAAUAAAAUACUAUUACAAGGUUAAGCUACA